GUAGUCAUAUGCUUGUCUCAAAGAUUAAGCCAUGCAUGUCUAAGUAUAAGCAACUAUACUGUGAAACUGCGAAUGGCUCAUUAAAUCAGUUAUCGUUUAUUUGAUAGUACCUUACUACUUGGAUAACCGUGGUAAUUCUAGAGCUAAUACAUGCUAAAAACCUCGACUUCGGAAGGGGUGUAUUUAUUAGAUAAAAAACCAAUGCCCUUCGGGGCUACCUGGUGAUUCAUAAUAACUUAACGAAUCGCAUGGCCUUGUGCCGGCGAUGGUUCAUUCAAAUUUCUGCCCUAUCACCUUUCGAUUGUUGGAUAGUGGCCAACAAUGGGUUCAACGGGUAACGGGGAAUG
RNAcentral lists this ribosomal RNA (347 nucleotides) under uncultured fungus. Its description in RNAcentral is "SSU rRNA". It matches the Rfam family "Eukaryotic small subunit ribosomal RNA", at positions 20 to 371 of the family's 1831-position model. The record is from RNAcentral. Lineage: Eukaryota; Fungi.